This 366-nucleotide ribosomal RNA is filed under the name uncultured bacterium. RNAcentral describes it as "SSU rRNA". It matches the Rfam family "Bacterial small subunit ribosomal RNA", at positions 26 to 371 of the family's 1533-position model. The record is from RNAcentral.
AGAACGAACGCUGGCGGCGUGGAUAAGACAUGCAAGUCGAGCGCUGAUUAAAGGGUAGCAAUAUCUUUUAAUUGGAGCGGCGCAAGGGUGCGUAACACGUGGGUAAUUUGCCAUGAAGUUGGGGAUAACUUGCUGAAAGGCGAGCUAAUACCGAAUGUGGCCCGACGGAGACAUCUCUGUUUGGCUAAAGCUGGGGACCGCAAGGCCUGACGCUUCAUGAUAAACCCGCGGCCUAUCAGCUAGUUGGUGAGGUAACGGCCCACCAAGGCUAAGACGGGUAGCUGGUCUGAGAGGACGACCAGCCACACUGGAACUGAGAGACGGUCCAGACACCUACGGGUGGCAGCAGUCGAGAAUUUUUCACAA